UACGAAUGGGGCGAGCGUUGUUCGGAAUCACUGGGCUUAAAGCGUGCGUAGGCGGAUAUGAAAGUCAGAAGUGAAAGCCCAGGGCUCAACCCUGGAACUGCUUUUGAAACUUCAUAUCCAGAGUCCCGGAGAGGUUAACGGAAUUCCGAGUGUAGAGGUGAAAUUCGCAGAUAUUCGGAGGAACACCAGUGGCGAAGGCGGUUAACUGGACGGGUACUGACGCUGAGGUACGAAAGCGUGGGGAGCAAACAGG
This 253-nucleotide ribosomal RNA is filed under the name uncultured bacterium. RNAcentral describes it as "partial 16S ribosomal RNA". It matches the Rfam family "Bacterial small subunit ribosomal RNA", at positions 524 to 776 of the family's 1533-position model. The record is from RNAcentral.